This 730-nucleotide ribosomal RNA is filed under the name uncultured Staphylococcus sp. Its description in RNAcentral is "bacterial SSU rRNA". It matches the Rfam family "Bacterial small subunit ribosomal RNA", at positions 63 to 779 of the family's 1533-position model. Lineage: Bacteria; Bacillati; Bacillota; Bacilli; Caryophanales; Staphylococcaceae. The record is from RNAcentral.
CGAACAGACGAGGAGCUUGCUCCUCUGACGUUAGCGGCGGACGGGUGAGUAACACGUGGAUAACCUACCUAUAAGACUGGGAUAACUUCGGGAAACCGGAGCUAAUACCGGAUAAUAUAUUGAACCGCAUGGUUCAAUAGUGAAAGACGGUUUUGCUGUCACUUAUAGAUGGAUCCGCGCCGCAUUAGCUAGUUGGUAAGGUAACGGCUUACCAAGGCAACGAUGCGUAGCCGACCUGAGAGGGUGAUCGGCCACACUGGAACUGAGACACGGUCCAGACUCCUACGGGAGGCAGCAGUAGGGAAUCUUCCGCAAUGGGCGAAAGCCUGACGGAGCAACGCCGCGUGAGUGAUGAAGGUCUUCGGAUCGUAAAACUCUGUUAUUAGGGAAGAACAAAUGUGUAAGUAACUAUGCACGUCUUGACGGUACCUAAUCAGAAAGCCACGGCUAACUACGUGCCAGCAGCCGCGGUAAUACGUAGGUGGCAAGCGUUAUCCGGAAUUAUUGGGCGUAAAGCGCGCGUAGGCGGUUUUUUAAGUCUGAUGUGAAAGCCCACGGCUCAACCGUGGAGGGUCAUUGGAAACUGGAAAACUUGAGUGCAGAAGAGGAAAGUGGAAUUCCAUGUGUAGCGGUGAAAUGCGCAGAGAUAUGGAGGAACACCAGUGGCGAAGGCGACUUUCUGGUCUGUAACUGACGCUGAUGUGCGAAAGCGUGGGGAUCAAACAGGAUU